CCUACGGGAGGCAGCAGUGAGGAAUCUUCGUCAAUGGCCGAGAGGCUGAACCAGCCAAGUCGCGUGAGGGAAGAAUGUCCUAUGGACUGUCAACCUCUUUUGUCAGGGAGCAAAGUCACCCACGUGUGGGUGUUGGAGAGUACCUGAAGAAACAGCAUCGCCUAACCCAGUUCCAGCAGCCGCGGUAAUACGGAGGAUGCGAGCGUUAUCCGGAUUUAUUGGGGUUAAAGGGUGCGUAGCCGGGUUAUCAAGUCAGCGCUAAAAUCGUGGAGCUCAACUCCAUCCAGCCGUUGAGACUGAUGAACUUGAGUGGGCGAGAGGUAUGCGGAAUGCGUGGUGUAGCGGUGAAAUGCAUAGAUAUCACGAAGAACUCCGAUUGCGAAGGCAGCAUACCGGCGCCCGACUGACGCUGAAGCACGAAAGCGUGGGUAGCGAACAGGAGUAGAUACCCGAGUAGUC
RNAcentral lists this ribosomal RNA (459 nucleotides) under uncultured bacterium. RNAcentral's name for it is "partial 16S ribosomal RNA". It matches the Rfam family "Bacterial small subunit ribosomal RNA", at positions 338 to 795 of the family's 1533-position model. The record is from RNAcentral.